UAUAUAAUUAUAUAAACAUAUUAACUGUUUAUUAUAAUUUAAAUUUAAACAUAUCAUAUUGAUUGUUUAUUAAUGUAUA
Molecule: transfer RNA, 79 nt
Filed under: Yarrowia lipolytica
Lineage: Eukaryota; Fungi; Ascomycota; Dipodascomycetes; Dipodascales
Source: RNAcentral